GGGCAACCCUGGUGGCGAGUGGCGGACGGGUGAGUAAAGCAUCGGAACGUAUCCUGGAGUGGGGGAUAACGUAGCGAAAGUUACGCUAAUACCGCAUAUUCUGUGAGCAGGAAAGCAGGGGAUCGCAAGACCUUGCGCUCUGGGAGCGGCCGAUGUCGGAUUAGCUAGUUGGUGGGGUAAAGGCCUACCAAGGCGACGAUCCGUAGCGGGUCUGAGAGGAUGAUCCGCCACACUGGGACUGAGACACGGCCCAGACUCCUACGGGAGGCAGCAGUGGGGAAUUUUGGACAAUGGGCGCAAGCCUGAUCCAGCCAUGCCGCGUGAGUGAAGAAGGCCUUCGGGUUGUAAAGCUCUUUCGGCGGGGAAGAAAUUGCACGGGUUAAUACCCUGUGUAGAUGACGGUACCCGAAUAAGAAGCACCGGCUAACUACGUGCCAGCAGCCGCGGUAAUACGUAGGGUGCGAGCGUUAAUCGGAAUUACUGGGCGUAAGGCGUGCGCAGGCGGUUUGGUAAGUCAGAUGUGAAAUCCCCGGGCUCAACCUGGGAACUGCAUUUGAGACUGCCAGGCUGGAGUUUGGCAGAGGGGGGUGGAAUUCCACGUGUAGCAGUGAAAUGCGUAGAGAUGUGGAGGAACACCGAUGGCGAAGGCAGCCCCCUGGGCCAAUACUGACGCUCAUGCACGAAAGCGUGGGGAGCAAACAGGAUUAGAUACCCCGGUAGUCCACGCCCUANACGAUGUCAACUAGGUGUUGGGAGGGUUAAACCUUUUAGUGCCGUAGCUAACGCGUGAAGUUGACCGCC
This 801-nucleotide ribosomal RNA is filed under the name uncultured bacterium. Its description in RNAcentral is "bacterial SSU rRNA". It matches the Rfam family "Bacterial small subunit ribosomal RNA", at positions 77 to 873 of the family's 1533-position model. The record is from RNAcentral.